ACCACCCGUCUUCUUCCUCGACGUCAGAUCCGCGCGGCAGGGACCUGUCCCUGACGGAUCGAACAAGCACCACCUCCAUGUGCUACAGAAUCGAGGUCGGCGUGGCCUUGUUGCGGCUGUGACCACCCCAUCUUCCCGGCGGCGUCGCGUCCCCUCAACUCCCUCACGGCGGACUGCAGCGAGGGCAGCAACCACCCGCAUGGUGGACUGCAGCGACUCUGCAUCGGGACGGCCAGCCUCGGCGGCCCCAACCCCGACCUCGCCCCUGCCGCGCACCACCACCAUCCCCUCCCCCGAUCCAGGGUCCUACAUAGAGAGAAGAUCACCAGAUCCGUCCCCUCGAUGACAAGUUCCUCCUCCAUCACGCGCCAACAGCAACCACGGUGGGGAGGUACCCUUACUGCCUCGAUCUGGUCCCGACGAGGAGCUCCUCCCUCCCGCUCCUCUCCGGCGGCCGUUGGGCUGGGUCCAUGCUGGCGAUGAGGGCCCCUGGCCCAUAUUCUUGUUCCUAUCUAACCCCUCCAAUGGCCUGCAAGGAGCUCCCCUCCCAUCUCCAAGCGCCGCGUGCGUGUGCAGCUCGCCUGCGUAUUGCGUGCAGCCCGCGUGCGCGUGCAUGUGCAGUUCGACAGUGGGUGGAGUAGCACUGCAGCCCUGCCCUCCGCCGCUGGGGCAGCACGGCUGUGGCGAUGCACUGGCCGUGCAGUGCACCGCGGCUCUACGUGCAGUGUAGUGGGUGUGUGACACCUCGAGUACUCCUCCUCGACUCCACACCCACUUGCAGUAUAGCAUGUCCACGGAUUAUUCUUCGUCGAGGACUUGCAGCUCGCCGGCGAGUGGCUCGCGGUUCGGGCAGCUUGGUCAUGUGCGCGUGUUACGCGAAGAUGGGGUGCAGGAAGACGGUGAUUUUUGUGUGUAUUUUGCUCACGGUUGACAUUUUUUCACUUUUUAGAUUUUGACUGCCAUCCCAUGGGUGCACAGGUGCAGUGCUGGGGGACUGGACAUGCAGUGCGUUGGCGCCGACUUGCAUUCACGGACAAAAAUGUGGAUUUAUUUUUUAAGUCCCUCGUCACUGUAAUUUGUGUGUGUUUGUAUUGUGGAUUAAAAAGAGGACCAUUGCAGUUCGUUCGCCCUGUCUCGUAGUCCAGAGAAGUAUAGAUUGCAACUCUAUUGUAAACGUGCAUUGAAGACAACAACACAUUUUUCAAGUGUAGCUCACUUGUUUCAUCGAGGUUCACUUUUCAUAAAGUAUUGCGGUUC
RNAcentral lists this ribosomal RNA (1257 nucleotides) under Triticum aestivum (bread wheat). RNAcentral describes it as "partial small subunit ribosomal RNA". Lineage: Eukaryota; Viridiplantae; Streptophyta; Magnoliopsida; Poales; Poaceae. The record is from RNAcentral.